GGGGAUGCAGCUCAGUUGGCAGAGCACUUGCCUUGCAUGCAUAAAGCCCUAGGUUUGAUCCCUAGCACCA
Molecule: transfer RNA, 70 nt
Filed under: Mus musculus (house mouse)
Lineage: Eukaryota; Metazoa; Chordata; Mammalia; Rodentia; Muridae
Rfam family: tRNA
About the family: Transfer RNA (tRNA) molecules are approximately 80 nucleotides in length. Their secondary structure includes four short double-helical elements and three loops (D, anti-codon, and T loops).
Source: Rfam by way of RNAcentral